Molecule: transfer RNA, 77 nt
Filed under: Flavobacteriales bacterium
Lineage: Bacteria; Pseudomonadati; Bacteroidota; Flavobacteriia; Flavobacteriales
Description: tRNA-Met
Rfam family: tRNA
About the family: Transfer RNA (tRNA) molecules are approximately 80 nucleotides in length. Their secondary structure includes four short double-helical elements and three loops (D, anti-codon, and T loops). Further hydrogen bonds mediate the characteristic L-shaped molecular structure. tRNAs have two regions of fundamental functional importance: the anti-codon, which is responsible for specific mRNA codon recognition, and the 3' end, to which the tRNAs corresponding amino acid is attached (by aminoacyl-tRNA synthetases). tRNAs cope with the degeneracy of the genetic code in two manners: having more than one tRNA (with a specific anti-codon) for a particular amino acid; and 'wobble' base-pairing, i.e. permitting non-standard base-pairing at the 3rd anti-codon position.
Source: RNAcentral
GGACUUAUAGCUCAGUUGGUUAGAGCACUUCACUCAUAAUGAAUAGGUCCCUGGUUCGAGUCCAGGUAGGUCCACCU